CCUACGGGAGGCACCAGUGGGGAAUAUUGGACAAUGGGGGGAACCCUGAUCCAGCGACGCCGCGUGAGUGAAGAAGUAUUUCGGUAUGUAAAGCUCUAUCAGCAGGGAAGAAAGAAAUGACGGUACCUGACUAAGAAGCCCCGGCUAACUACGUGCCAGCAGCCGCUGUAAUACGGAGGGGGCAAGCGUUAUCCGGAUUUACUGGGUGUAAAGGGAGCGUAGACGGCGAUGCAAGUCUGAAGUGAAAGGCGGGGGCCCAACCCCCGAACUGCUUUGGAAACUGUAUGGCUUGAGUGCAGGAGAGGUAAGUGGAAUUCCUAGUGUAGCGGUGAAAUGCGUAGAUAUUAGGAGGAACACCAGUGGCGAAGGCGGCUUACUGGACUGUAACUGACGUUGAGGCUCGAAAGCGUGGGGAGCAAACAGGAUUAGAUACCCCUGUAGUC
This 443-nucleotide ribosomal RNA is filed under the name uncultured bacterium. RNAcentral's name for it is "partial 16S ribosomal RNA". It matches the Rfam family "Bacterial small subunit ribosomal RNA", at positions 338 to 795 of the family's 1533-position model. The record is from RNAcentral.